GAUCAUCAAUGGCUGGAAUUGAUCCUGUAAAGUACCCUUCUCUACCCUCGAAUUACGUUACCAUAGCUGAGCUCAAAGAACGAUGGCUUAAAGAGAAAGAAAGAAAGCAGCAAGAAGAAAAGGAAAAACUGGAAAGUGGAGAAAAGGAAAAAUACCCAUUUCUUCGAAAUCAUGAAAACCGCAUUGCAAAUGGGUGUACUCAUAGUCGAGGUCCAGUUGGUAAAAAUCUGCAAAAGCGUGACAAUCACAGUGGGAAAGGUUGGCGUGUGGUGGGUUUGAUUGCUAAGGAACCCAAGUUAAAGGAGGUUAGGAUGAAUGGUCCAGUGGUUGAAGAAGGUGUUGAUGGAGCAAGGGGAAAAGAGAAAAUGGGCUAUUUUGGAAAGAGGGAAGCUAGGGUUGAAAGAGAUGGAUCAGGAGAUAUGGCUAAGGUUUCGAUGAUUGAUGUGGCGGAGGAAGAAAUGAUGGCUGUGGUGAGUGUGGAAAGGGGUGGAAAAGAAUCAUUUAAGGGUAAAUGUAAGUGGAAUAGCGGGAAUCAGGAGGUUGAAGAAGUGGCUACUGUUUGCAUGGUGGAGGUUGUAGGAGAAAGCAAUGUUGAUAGGGAAAUUGCAGGGGGGGAAUGUAGAGUUGGGUAUAGGGGGAAGAAAAAUAGCUGGAGUGCGGAGCAAUCAGGACAAAAACAGAAUGCAGGGAAGGAGAAGGUUUCAGUUGAUGUGAAAGAAAGAAUCACUGAGAAGGUGAGAGUGGGAGGUGCAUUUCGUGCUUACGGUGAUAAGGAAGUGGCUUCUGUUUGCGCGGUGGAGGUUGUAGGAGAAAACAAGGUAGAUAGGGAAAUCACAGGGCAGAAUUGUGGAGUUGGAAAUAGGGGAAAGAAAAAUGGUGGUAGAAAGAUGGGUGUUAGGAUUGGAGAAGUGAGUAAUAAAGCAGACAGUGUGGAGCAAUCAGGACGAAAACAUAAUGCAGGGAAGGAGAAGGUUACAGUUGAUGUGAAAGAAAGAACUAAUGAGAAGGUGAGAGUGAAAGGUGCAUUUGGUGAUAAGGAGGUUGAAGAAGUGGCUACUGUUUGCACGGUGGAGAUGGUAGAAGAAAUCAAGGUAAAUAGGAAAAUCGCAGGGAAGAAACGUAGAGUUUGGUAUAAGGGAAAGAAACAUAGCGGGAGAAAGAUGGCUGACAGGGUUGGAGAAGUUAGCGAUAAAGCAGACAGUGCGGAGCAAUCAGGACAAGAACUAAAUGCAGAAAAGGAGGAGGUUUCAGUUGAUGUGAAAGAAAGAGCUAAUGAGAAGGCGAGAGUGAGAGGUGCAUUUUGUGCAUACAGUGAUAAGAGCAAAGAUGUACUGAUAGAUUCAGAAGCCGGUCUGAAUAGGAUGAUUGAGGGAGAUCUUGGAGAUUUAUCAUUGACUGAUAGGAGGUAUGGUCAUGGGAGAUCGAGUGUCAGGGUGUAUGGUGACAAGUCAUAUGGGAGUUCCAGAAGGUAUGAUGUGCGAAAAAUGUUGAAGCAGAGGGAUAAUAGCUUUGCGUGGAUUAAAAAGGGGGAGUCUUCAAAUGGCAAUGUUGCUGAAAUUGAAACGCAGGGUUGAUUUUUUCAAGCCAAAGUACAAGUCGGAGUAAGCUGUGCUCUCAGUGAAUCAAGUUCUGGAUGCACUAGUGAGUGUGAAUCUGGAUGGACAAUGUACUUUGAUGAAUUCUCAUAUUCUUCAGAUCAAUUCAAUGGAGUUAAGGGGAGAAGUAUUUAUGAUGGUAGGGGAAGGUCAGC
Solanum verrucosum is the source of this 1750-nucleotide RNA transcript. RefSeq lists it as uncharacterized. The transcript is spliced from 4 exons. The record is from RefSeq and is a predicted model, not a curated record. Lineage: Eukaryota; Viridiplantae; Streptophyta; Magnoliopsida; Solanales; Solanaceae.